RNAcentral lists this long non-coding RNA (351 nucleotides) under Anneissia japonica. RNAcentral's name for it is "uncharacterized LOC117110460, transcript variant X2". The record is from RNAcentral. Lineage: Eukaryota; Metazoa; Echinodermata; Crinoidea; Comatulida; Comatulidae.
AAUGCACCUCUGAAGAUCUCGGCAAACCAAUGGACAAGUGGCCAUAAUGUUGUUUCUCGUUUUGUGCUCGUUACUUUUGCUGAAUGUAAAAAUUCUGUAAACGUCCAACCAUUCCAAAAUGCACUUCUGAAGAUCUCAGCAAACCAGUGGACCAGUGGCUAUAAUGUUGCUUUCUCAUUUUGUGAUUGUUACUUUUGCUGAAUGAAAUUUUGAAGAAAAUUUAGACAUUGCACCUCUGCAGCAAGUGGACCAGACCUGCUUGGCUGAAUGGCGACUUUUGCUUCCUCUACUUCCUCUACUGAUUGAUUGUAGCAACUGGUGAUUAGGCAAUUGAAGCUUUCAAUUAAAAAU